Molecule: ribosomal RNA, 235 nt
Filed under: uncultured bacterium
Lineage: Bacteria
Description: partial 16S ribosomal RNA
Rfam family: Bacterial small subunit ribosomal RNA
Source: RNAcentral
CGAACGGGUGCGUAACACGUGAACAACCUGCCCUCGUGUGGGGGAUAGCCAUGCUAACGCGUGGGUAAUACCGCAUACGUUCUUCAGGGGGAGUCCCCUGGGGAAGAAAGCUCUGGCGCACGGGGAGGGGUUCGCGGCCUAUCAGCUAGUUGGCGGGGUAAUGGCCCACCAAGGCGACGACGGGUAGCUGGUCUGAGAGGAUGGCCAGCCACAUUGGGACUGAGAGACGGCCCAG